RNAcentral lists this long non-coding RNA (2061 nucleotides) under Sus scrofa (pig). RNAcentral's name for it is "lncRNA (ENSSSCG00065024070.1)". The record is from RNAcentral. Lineage: Eukaryota; Metazoa; Chordata; Mammalia; Artiodactyla; Suidae.
UUUUUUUUUUUUUUUUGGCUGUGCCCUCUGCAUGCAAAAGUUCCCAGGCCAAGGAUCAAACCUGCACCACAGAAGUGACCCAAGCCACAGCAGUGACAACACCAGAUCCUUAACUGCUAGGGCACCAACAAAUUCCAAAAAUGCAUUUACUAUACCCAACCUAACAAACAUCAUAGCUUAGCCUAGCCUACUUUAAACAUGCUCAAAACAAUCACAUUAGCCCAUGGGUGGGCAGAAUCAUCUAACACAAAGCCUAGUUUAUAAUCAAGUAUUGAAUAAUUCAUGUAAUUUAUUAAGUACUGUACUGAGAGUGAAAAACAGGCCAGUUGUCUGGGAAAGAAUGGUCAUUUCCUCUUGUGAUCCCCUGGCUGAUUGGGAGCUGUGGUGGCUGCCACUGCCCAGCAUCAUGAGAGAGUAUCACACAGCCCAUCACUAGCCAGGAAAAGACUGAAAUUCAAAAUUCCAAGUUCCUACUGAAUGGGUAUCAUUUUGUACCAUCAAAAAGUUGAAAAUCAGAGUCUCCACUGUGGCUCAGCAGUAAUGAACCCAAGUAAUAUCCAUGAGGAUGCAGUUGGGUUCGUUAACCACUGAGCAACGAAGGGAACUCCCAAAUACUACUUAAUAAUUGCCUCUUCUAGGAAGGCCUCUCUGAUUAUUCAAUAAUCAUGUACCAUUGUUUGGACAAACAGUCCCUGCAUAUGGAAAUAAGAGCUAUGGCCCCAGACCUCAGGUGGGGAGGACAGAGGAGUUGAAAUAUCAUCAGUCAUUAUUAUAGGGAAUAAGUGCUUUGAUAAGUAAGCAAGGGGCUCUGAGAGCACCAGGGGCCAUCACAGAGCCCUGACUGGGGAAGUGUCAAAGAAAAGGGGACAGGUUGGGGAAGGGGUGGGCUAAGGGUUUGGUGCUGGCAUAUGCACACUGCAGUACAUGGAAUGACUGGCCAGAGGGGACCGGCUGUAUAGCGCAGAGAACUUUCCCAACAUUCGGUGAUGAUCUGUAUGGGGAAAGAGUCUGAAGGAGAAUGGAUGUGUGUACAUGUAUAACCAAAUCACUUUGCUGUACAGCAGAAAUGACCAUGACAUUGUAAAGCAACUGUACUGCAAUACGACUUGAAAAAAUAAAAAAAAAAAAAAGAAAGUGUUCCUGGAUGAGGUGAGGUGCCAUCUGCACUGAGUUGUAAAGAAGGACCCAGGAGUCAGGUGCCAAGCAGAGGAGGUGAUGAAGGAAGAAGGUGUCCAAGCUGAGAGGCUGGAGAGACCGUGGGGCACUGAGGGUUCAGUGUGGCCAGUCCAAGCCUCUGACAAGACAGGUCACGGGUCCUUGCUGCUCCAUCAGAUAGAGGUAUGAUUAUACUGGCUCCUAGAAGGUCACUCAGCCACUGUGUGAGGAGGUUUUCUGCGAGGAGCAAGACCAAGCGAAGGGGACCCUUCAGGCAGCCAUCAGUGGCAGCCAGGAGGGAGAGGAGGGGAGCCUGAUGGAGGCGGGGACACUGGAGGGAGAUCGGCUGGGUCAGUGACCUAGGAAGAGCGGGGUGUUGCUGUAGGCAACAGGAUGGGGGCAGGGGUCACUAUCAAAACGAACAGACAGGAGGAGGCAAUUUCAUUUUGCCCCGUUGGGUUGAGUUCCUUGCAGGACCUCCAGAGGACAGGGCCCCUGGGUGGUGGGGACAGAGACUCAUUGCUUAAGCCAGUUCUCUGAACGAGAAAGCUUAAGGGGAGAGCUAUCAGCACCCAGGUGAUAGGCGCAAACUUGGACUUGGAGGACAUCCCCGGGGAGAGAAUCGAAACAAGAAGAGAGGGCCCAGAGGGAGCCCAAGGGACAAUGACAUGGGAAGGUCCAGCCAAAAGGAGGAGGGCAAUCGAGGGAGGAGGAAGGCUCCAGAAGACAGGCAGACCAUGCAGUCAUGGCACACCGCUGGCAGAGGUCACAAUACACCGGUCAACAGGGACCUUGGCCAAAGCAGUCCUGGAGGGAUGAAGGGGGCAGGGACCAGAUCACCCCGGGGGUGGGGGGUGAACACAGGGUGCCAUGAGAAGUACGGGUGACAGGGGUCGGCCAGCCCCC